RNAcentral lists this ribosomal RNA (675 nucleotides) under uncultured Lactobacillus sp. RNAcentral describes it as "bacterial SSU rRNA". It matches the Rfam family "Bacterial small subunit ribosomal RNA", at positions 767 to 1439 of the family's 1533-position model. The record is from RNAcentral. Lineage: Bacteria; Bacillati; Bacillota; Bacilli; Lactobacillales; Lactobacillaceae.
AGCGAACAGGAUUAGAUACCCUGGUAGUCUAUGCCGUAAAACGAUGAGUGCUAGGUGUUGGAGGGUUUUCCGCCCUUCAGUGCCGCAGCUAACGCAUUAAGCACUCCGCCUGGGGAGUACGACCGCAAAGGUUGAAACUCAAAGGAAUUGACGGGGGCCCGCACAAGCGGUGGAGCAUGUGGUUUAAUUCGAAGCUACGCGAAGAACCUUACCAGGUCUUGACAUACUAUGCAAAUCCUAGAGAUAGGACGUUCCCUUCGGGGACAUGGAUACAGGUGGUGCAUGGUUGUCGUCAGCUCGUGUCGUGAGAUGUUGGGUUAAGUCCCGCAACGAGCGCAACCCUUAUUAUCAGUUGCCAGCAUUAAGUUGGGCACUCUGGUGAGACUGCCGGUGACAAACCGGAGGAAGGUGGGGAUGACGUCAAAUCAUCAUGCCCCUUAUGACCUGGGCUACACACGUGCUACAAUGGACGGUACAACGAGUCGCGAAGUCGUGAGGCUAAGCUAAUCUCUUAAAGCCGUUCUCAGUUCGGAUUGUAGGCUGCAACUCGCCUACAUGAAGUUGGAAUCGCUAGUAAUCGCGGAUCAGCAUGCCGCGGUGAAUACGUUCCCGGGCCUUGUACACACCGCCCGUCACACCAUGAGAGUUUGUAACACCCAAAGCCGGUGAGAUAAC